This is a long non-coding RNA of Neltuma alba, 431 nucleotides long. RefSeq lists it as uncharacterized. NCBI's taxonomy places the organism in Eukaryota, Viridiplantae, Streptophyta, Magnoliopsida, Fabales, Fabaceae. The transcript has 2 exons. The record is from RefSeq and is a predicted model, not a curated record.
GUGAACAGAAGAACUGACAUGUGAAAAACAGGAAUAGGAGUAAAGUCAUCAAUUGAAGUCCCAGAAGAGAAUUGUUGAAGCAUUUCUGACUUACCACCAACAUGGAAGCAAUGCCCCAAUAAUGCAGCACAAAUGCAUUGGAAUUGGAAGGCCCACCCAACAAGUUGAUAAGGUGCAAAGAUAGAAACAAGACAUUGCUGGUUGAUCAAGAUGAAAUUGACUGUUUGAAGAGGGUUGCUCGAUUGAACGAGGAAGCUGAAUCCAUAUAUGAACUCUCCAAGCGCCCUAACCCGGCUUUUGAAGUCAGACCAAUAUGGAAAGACAUUGUUUUAUCGCCUUUAAUGUCGACCAUCCAACAGGAGCUCAAAUAUGCAUUUAAAAAGGUUGAAAAAUUGAAACAUUACUUUAUGAAGGAUGGAUGACGUUUAAAA